AGAGUUUGAUCCUGGCUCAGAAUCAACGCUGGCGGCGUGCCUAACACAUGCAAGUCGAACGAGAAAGUGGAGCAAUCCAUGAGUAAAGUGGCGCACGGGUGAGUAACACGUGACUAACCUACCUUCGAGUGGGGAAUAACUGAGAGAAAUCUUAGCUAAUACCCCAUAACAUCUACGGAUCAAAGCAGCAAUGCGCUUGAAGAGGGGGUCGCGGCAGAUUAGUUAGUUGGCGGGGUAAUGGCCCACCAAGACGAUGAUCUGUAUCCGGCCUGAGAGGGCGCACGGACACACUGGAACUGAAACACGGUCCAGACUCCUACGGGAGGCAGCAGUGGGGAAUUUUGCGCAAUGGGGGAAACCCUGACGCAGCAACGCCGCGUGGAGGAUGAAAUCCCUUGGGAUGUAAACUCCUUUCGAUAGGGACGAUUAUGACGGUACCUAUAGAAGAAGCCCCGGCUAACUUCGUGCCAGCAGCCGCGGUAAUACGAGGGGGGCAAGCGUUGUUCGGAAUUAUUGGGCGUAAAGGGUGCGUAGGCGGUCUGAUAAGUCAUCUGUGAAAUCUAUGGGCUCAACCCAUAGUCUGCAGGCGAAACUGUCGGGCUUGAGUAUGGGAGAGGUGAGUGGAAUUUCCGGUGUAGCGGUGAAAUGCGUAGAUAUCGGAAGGAACACCUGUGGCGAAAGCGGCUCACUGGACCAUUACUGACGCUGAUGCACGAAAGCUAGGGGAGCAAACAGGAUUAGAUACCCUAGUAGUCC
This 756-nucleotide ribosomal RNA is filed under the name uncultured bacterium. RNAcentral's name for it is "bacterial SSU rRNA". It matches the Rfam family "Bacterial small subunit ribosomal RNA", at positions 8 to 796 of the family's 1533-position model. The record is from RNAcentral.